Long non-coding RNA from Carassius gibelio (silver crucian carp), 1737 nucleotides. RefSeq lists it as uncharacterized. The record is from RefSeq and is a predicted model, not a curated record. Lineage: Eukaryota; Metazoa; Chordata; Actinopteri; Cypriniformes; Cyprinidae. The transcript is spliced from 6 exons.
AGCAGGGGUUCAGAUAAAAAAUCGGCAGCUGGCAGCAGGAAGUGGCUGCCAUUGACAGCCGGAAGGCAGUAACUGUCAGCCGGAUGGUAGGCGGGACCUGCCAUUCGGUGGGAGCCAAUCAGUAUCGACCAACGUGGGCACAACCAAUCAGAUAUAACUGCACCCAAACGCUUCAGUAAUGGUUGCGAUUGAUCAAACGUUGCCAGAUGCUGUCCUGUUGAAAAUUCUUCUUUACGUGAUCCUGGAGGAGGGGUGAUGCUACAUUACUAAGUCCGUCUUUGGUUUGUUCCAAAUUCAGAAGUCUGCUGUACUGUAUACAGACUCCUUUCGAAAGAGGGCACAAUCCAGCUGGCUUGACUGAGUAUCUUCUUUUACAUAUUUGAUUAGAGGUUUAAAAAGGUGGAACAAAAUGGAGAACAAGUCUAAGCCAUGUCAGGAAUUCAACAAUGUACACCCUGCAGACACUGCGACGAGUUUACAACAACUGCUUACCAGGUCACUGCAGUCACCCGGAUAGAGUAUGUAUCUAGACCAGAUGGUGGAUCGCACCUAGAAAGGACCUCUACAGCCCUGAAAGACAGCGGAGACCAGGACAACUAGAGCCCCAGAUACAGAUCCCCUCCUCCUCCAAUUUCCGGGUAUUAGCGACAGCUGCCAUCCGGUUUUAUUGGCAGCCACUUCCUGCUGCCAGUGACAGCCACUUCCUGCUGACAGCUGCCGAUUUUUCGCUGAACCCCCUCUCACCUCUUCAGUCUGAACCCCAAGGCAAUAGACGAGAUGCAGUAGCUACUGACAGACAGAGCACGACCAGAGGCGUCCGGAGACCAAGCAGGUGUCACCCCUUGUAAAAUGAUCAGAAAAUAAUUGUCGAUUGCCAUGUGACAUUAAUUAUUUCCUUCAGUGCCACAGAUGCCCAUGGGACUAGUGGGCAGUCAGGCAGGCGGUGUGAGCGUGGCUAUAUUAUCCUAACUGUCCUGCUCCAUGCGAGUGUACCAUGGGGCCAGAAGACGAACAGACUAUCACUGGCCUCUCAGCCAGCAGACUGCACAGCAACAAGAGCUCUGGGAAAACUGACCAACCGGGGGCAAACAACCAGACCAUUUGUCUGCUUCUCACUCAGAUAUACAUUUAUUUUUAAACUGGGGUGGGAGAAAUCAGCAGAGUUUGGCAGGAGAAAGUUGCCAAAGCUGUAGCUGGGGACUUUAGGCCUUGUGGGGAGGAAAGCAGCUCUCACUCUGGAUUAUACGUCCUGGCUUUUAACGGCAUGUUCACAAAUUGAUGCCGGGCUCCUCGGGGGCUGCAGCAGGAGCAUUAAAUGGCACUGAAAUAUUCAUAUGUGAGUGCAUUUAGCUGAGCGCAGCUGAUGGGCGGCUCCCAGGAGGGGCUACAGGGAAGUGCUGCUGGGCUCCGAUCCCUUACCCCCACCCACCCAUACAGACCCUCAUGCCCUGUGUAUGGGUGAGGGGAGUACAGAGCCACUGAGCUGUUUUUGACAGAGCUCUCUAAGAAACCAUCCAGGAUGAUCACUGAAGUGCAACUCUUUUAAAAGUAUGUUCAGUUGUGAGACUGUUUGUUUGUAUGUAUUCCCUACAGACGGUUUAUUGUGGGGUGACACAAUGAUCAUAGAGUUAACCCUGCAAAAAAUUUUUUUAUGAAGAAUAUCUUUAUGAACAACAUUUAGCUAGUUAAAACAAUAUCUUUCAGAAACAACAGUUUAUUAAGUUAGAGAAAUUUAGU